UACGGGGGGGGGCAAGCGUUGUUCGGAAUUACUGGGCGUAAAGGGCUCGUAGGCGGCCAACUAAGUCGGACGUGAAAUCCCUCAGCUUAACUGGGGAACUGCGUCCGAUACUGGAUGGCUUGGAUUUGGGAGAGGGAUGCGGAAUUCCAGGUGUAGCGGUGAAAUGCGUAGAUAUCUGGAGGAACACCGGUGGCGAAGGCGGCAUCCUGGACCAAUAUUGACGCUGAGGAGCGAAAGCCAGGGGAGCAAACAGGG
Molecule: ribosomal RNA, 255 nt
Filed under: uncultured bacterium
Lineage: Bacteria
Description: partial 16S ribosomal RNA
Rfam family: Bacterial small subunit ribosomal RNA
Source: RNAcentral